RNAcentral lists this ribosomal RNA (427 nucleotides) under uncultured Perlucidibaca sp. Its description in RNAcentral is "bacterial SSU rRNA". It matches the Rfam family "Bacterial small subunit ribosomal RNA", at positions 355 to 774 of the family's 1533-position model. Lineage: Bacteria; Pseudomonadati; Pseudomonadota; Gammaproteobacteria; Pseudomonadales; Perlucidibacaceae. The record is from RNAcentral.
UGGGGAAUAUUGGACAAUGGGGGAAACCCUGAUCCAGCCAUGCCGCGUGUGUGAAGAAGGCCUUCGGGUUGUAAAGCACUUUAAGCGGGGAGGAAGGGCUUGUGGUUAAUAACCGCAAGCAUUGACGUUACCCGCAGAAUAAGCACCGGCUAACUCUGUGCCAGCAGCCGCGGUAAUACAGAGGGUGCAAGCGUUAAUCGGAAUUACUGGGCGUAAAGCGCGCGUAGGCGGUUGUGUAAGUUGGAUGUGAAAGCCCCGGGCUCAACCUGGGAAUGGCAUUCAAAACUGCACGGCUAGAGUAUUGGAGAGGAAGGUAGAAUUCCAGGUGUAGCGGUGAAAUGCGUAGAGAUCUGGAGGAAUACCGAUGGCGAAGGCAGCCUUCUGGCCAAAUACUGACGCUGAGGUGCGAAAGCAUGGGGAGCAAACA